This is a long non-coding RNA of Chroicocephalus ridibundus (black-headed gull), 883 nucleotides long. RefSeq lists it as uncharacterized. The record is from RefSeq and is a predicted model, not a curated record. The transcript is spliced from 3 exons. NCBI's taxonomy places the organism in Eukaryota, Metazoa, Chordata, Aves, Charadriiformes, Laridae.
GGGCAGGCCCGCACCGCCAGCGCUGCUGGGCCCUGAGGGACGGGCGCGGGGGGCCGCUGACGGAAAGGCGGCCGGACCGCGGUGGCUGUGGAGACCCGAUCGCGCCGCUCUGCUCUUCGGCGCUGGGUGUGGAGGACCACCACUACAAUGUUUUUUUGACUUCUUACCAAACAACAAACGUGAAUUACGGCAAAUCAGUUGAGACUGUUCUUAUACUUGAAAUUGUAUCAUGCUCAUCAGGAAACGAACAACUCUGAAAAGAAUCUCUCAAAGGAUAAGAGAGGGGAAGUUCCUGUGCCAGCAAAGCGUUACCCAGAAAAUUUCCUUAAAAGCAAGAUACUCAUCUCAUCAUUUGCCUUAGAUGCAAGCCCAAAUACAUCAGCUUACUGUACGUACGAAAGAGGUUUGUCUAUUGAUUACUUUCUAGAUUAGAAUCAAGGCCUCCACUUACUUACUGAAAAGCUUAUCGUACUGGAUUAUCAAUCUUUAUUUUAAAAUAAAUGAACCAAAAGUCUUUGCUUGGAGAGAGCUCUUUAUGAAUUGCUGUGAUGGGAGUUCUGCUCUUUAAAGGAAAUAUUAAUUUAGUACAGUAUUUCAAAUCCACAGAAAACUAAAGAUUUCCCCAACAUUUUAGUACCUUAGAACCAUAUCCUUUCUUCAGUUAACAAACAUUUUCUCCAUUAUGUUUUUCUUGAAGGAGUCUCGUGCUGUAUAGGUUUUAAGGUUAGUUCCAAAAGAUUUUUUGCAAACGAAUAAGUGCACAUCAGUUUAAAAAAAAUAAAAUCAAAAAUCAUGGGAGUACACAAAAAGACCAUACAGGCAAAGGCUAAUUCCAGAACAGAACUAAGGAUAUAUCUGAAUGGAGAUUAGAAAAAGCUGCAAU